AACGCAGAUUGCGCCCUUUGGUAUUCCGAAGGGCAUGCCUGUUGGAGUGUCUUAUAAACCUCACCUCUAUAGUUUUCUAUAGUUGUGCUUUGGGUGUUGCCAUUCAGUUGGCUCGCCUUAAAUGUCUAAGUGGAAUGCGUAAUAAGUUCUCGCAACCCUCCACUCUAACACACUUUAUAUUCUGACCUCCAAUCAGGUAGGACUACCCGCUGAACUUAA
RNAcentral lists this unclassified non-coding RNA (219 nucleotides) under uncultured Dioszegia. RNAcentral describes it as "sequence contains ITS2". The stretch from base 1 to 52 matches the Rfam family "5.8S ribosomal RNA", at positions 103 to 154 of the family's 154-position model. Lineage: Eukaryota; Fungi; Basidiomycota; Tremellomycetes; Tremellales; Bulleribasidiaceae. The record is from RNAcentral.